Gorilla gorilla gorilla (western lowland gorilla) is the source of this 71-nucleotide transfer RNA. It matches the Rfam family "tRNA". From Rfam's summary of the family: Transfer RNA (tRNA) molecules are approximately 80 nucleotides in length. Their secondary structure includes four short double-helical elements and three loops (D, anti-codon, and T loops). The record is from Rfam. Lineage: Eukaryota; Metazoa; Chordata; Mammalia; Primates; Hominidae.
AAUAUAGUACUGAGUGAUUAAGAGCCUGGCUUGGAAUCAGAUAGAUGUAGUUUUAAAUUCUGUCUGUAUUA